CUACUCUUAACUUCUCCCCUGGCCCUACAUAUUCUGGCCCACUCCUGUCCUGCUCUUAGUUCUACUUCUUGCUCCUACUCUGGACCCUGCUCUUGGCUCUACUCUUAGUUCUACUCCUGGCUCUACUCUUAGUUCUACUCUUGGCCCUACUCUUAGUUCUACUCUUGGCUCUUAGUUCUACUCCUGGCCCUACUCUUGGCUCUUUAGUUCUACUCUGGUUCUACCCUUAUUUCUACACCUGGCUCUAUGUAGUCCUGGCCCCACUCCUGGUCCUGCUCUUAGUUCUACUCUUGGCUCUACUCCUGGCCUGGCUCUUGUGCUUCUACUCUUAGUUUCGACUCUUGCUCUACUCUUAGUUCUACUCCUGGGCCCUACUCUUAGUUCUAGUCCUGGCUCUACUCCUAGCUGUCUACUCUUUGGUUCUACUCUAGUCCUACUCGUUGGCUCUAGUUCUACUCUUGGCUCUACUCUUAGUUCUACUCUUGACUCUACUCUUAGUUCUACUCUUGGCCCUACUCUUGGUUCUACUCCUACUUCUACCCCUGGCCAUACGUAGUCCUGGCCCCACUCCUGCGUUUCCUGCUCUUUAGUGUCUUAUCUUCUUGGCCUACUCCGUGGCCCUGCUCUGGCUCUACUCUUUAGUUUCUGACUCCUGACCUCUACUCUUAGUUCUACUCCUGGCCCUACUCUUAGCUUCUACUUCUGCCCUACUCUUAGUUCUACUUCCUGGCUCACUCCUAGUUCUACUCUUGGGUUCUAUCUAGUCCUACUCUUGGCUCUUAGUUCUACUCUUGGCUCUACUCUUAGUUCUGCUCUUGGCCCUACUCUUGGUUCUACUCCUACUUCUACCCCUGGCCCUACAUAGUUCUGGCCCCCGCAUCUCCUGGGCUGUCCUUGCCUGUCUUAGUUCUACCUCGUGUGGCUCUACCUCCUGGCCCUGCU
RNAcentral lists this long non-coding RNA (942 nucleotides) under Coturnix japonica (Japanese quail). RNAcentral describes it as "lncRNA (ENSCJPG00005002224.1)". Lineage: Eukaryota; Metazoa; Chordata; Aves; Galliformes; Phasianidae. The record is from RNAcentral.